GCCCAUCAGAAGGGGAUAACGCUUGGAAACAGGUGCUAAUACCGUAUAACAAUCGAAACCGCAUGGUUUUGAUUUGAAAGGCGCUUUCGGGUGUCGCUGAUGGAUGGACCCGCGGUGCAUUAGCUAGUUGGUGAGGUAACGGCUCACCAAGGCUACGAUGCAUAGCCGACCUGAGAGGGUGAUCGGCCACAUUGGGACUGAGACACGGCCCAAACUCCUACGGGAGGCAGCAGUAGGGAAUCUUCGGCAAUGGACGAAAGUCUGACCGAGCAACGCCGCGUGAGUGAAGAAGGUUUUCGGAUCGUAAAACUCUGUUGUUAGAGAAGAACAAGGAUGAGAGUAACUGUUCAUCCCUUGACGGUAUCUAACCAGAAAGCCACGGCUAACUACGUGCCAGCAGCCGCGGUAAUACGUAGGUGGCAAGCGUUGUCCGGAUUUAUUGGGCGUAAAGCGAGCGCAGGCGGUUUCUUAAGUCUGAUGUGAAAGCCCCCGGCUCAACCGGGGAGGGUCAUUGGAAACUGGGAGACUUGAGUGCAGAAGAGGAGAGUGGAAUUCCAUGUGUAGCGGUGAAAUGCGUAGAUAUAUGGAGGAACACCAGUGGCGAAGGCGGCUCUCUGGUCUGUAACUGACGCUGAGGCUCGAAAGCGUGGGGAGCAAACAGGAUUAGAUACCCUGGUAGUCCACGCCGUAAACGAUGAGUGCUAAGUGUUGGAGGGUUUCCGCCCUUCAGUGCUGCAGCUAACGCAUUAAGCACUCCGCCUGGGGAGUACGACCGCAAGGUUGAAACUCAAAGGAAUUGACGGGGGCCCGCACAAGCGGUGGAGCAUGUGGUUUAAUUCGAAGCAACGCGAAGAACCUUACCAGGUCUUGACAUCCUUUGACCACUCUAGAGAUAGAGCUUCCCCUUCGGGGGCAAAGUGACAGGUGGUGCAUGGUUGUCGUCAGCUCGUGUCGUGAGAUGUUGGGUUAAGUCCCGCAACGAGCGCAACCCUUAUUGUUAGUUGCCAUCAUUCAGUUGGGCACUCUAGCAAGACUGCCGGUGACAAACCGGAGGAAGGUGGGGAUGACGUCAAAUCAUCAUGCCCCUUAUGACCUGGGCUACACACGUGCUACAAUGGGAAGUACAACGAGUCGCGAAGUCGCGAGGCUAAGCUAAUCUCUUAAAGCUUCUCUCAGUUCGGAUUGUAGGCUGCAACUCGCCUACA
Molecule: ribosomal RNA, 1205 nt
Filed under: Enterococcus durans
Lineage: Bacteria; Bacillati; Bacillota; Bacilli; Lactobacillales; Enterococcaceae
Description: bacterial SSU rRNA
Rfam family: Bacterial small subunit ribosomal RNA
Source: RNAcentral